UAGGGAAUUUUCGUCAAUGGGGGCAACCCUGAACGAGCAAUGCUGCGUGAGCGAAGAAGGUCUUCGGAUUGUAAAGCUCUGUUGCCGGGGAAAAAGGAAGGAAAGAGGAAAUGCUUUUCUUUGGAUGGUACCCGGCCAGAAAGUCACGGCUAACUACGUGCC
This 162-nucleotide ribosomal RNA is filed under the name uncultured bacterium. RNAcentral's name for it is "partial 16S ribosomal RNA". It matches the Rfam family "Bacterial small subunit ribosomal RNA", at positions 355 to 509 of the family's 1533-position model. The record is from RNAcentral.